RNAcentral lists this ribosomal RNA (301 nucleotides) under uncultured bacterium. Its description in RNAcentral is "partial 16S ribosomal RNA". It matches the Rfam family "Bacterial small subunit ribosomal RNA", at positions 509 to 808 of the family's 1533-position model. The record is from RNAcentral.
CAGUCGCCACGGUAAUACGUAGGUCCCGAGCGUUGUCCGAAUUUAUUGGGCGUAAAGCGAGCGCGGGCGGUUAGAUAAGUCUGAAGUUAAAGGCUGUGGCUUAACCAUAGUACGCUUUGGAAACUGUUUAACUUGAGUGCAAGAGGGGAGAGUGGAAUUCCAUGUGUAGCGGUGAAAUGCGUAGAUAUAUGGAGGAACACCGGUGGCGAAAGCGGCUCUCUGGCUUGUAACUGACGCUGAGGCUCGAAAGCGUGGGGAGCAAACAGGAUUAGAUACCCCAGUAGUCCCUGUCUCUUAUACA